RNAcentral lists this non-coding RNA (148 nucleotides) under Chlorocebus sabaeus (green monkey). The record is from Rfam by way of RNAcentral. Lineage: Eukaryota; Metazoa; Chordata; Mammalia; Primates; Cercopithecidae.
GCUGGGUGUGGUGGUGUGCACCUGUAAUCCCAGCUACUCAGGAGGCUGAGGCAGUAGAAUUGCUUGAACCCGGGAGGUGGAGGCUGCAGUGGGCAGAGAUCAUGCCACUGCACUCCAGCCUGGGUAACAGAGUGAGACCCUGUCUCAA